This 1456-nucleotide ribosomal RNA is filed under the name uncultured Bordetella sp. RNAcentral's name for it is "partial 16S-23S ribosomal RNA intergenic spacer". It matches the Rfam family "Bacterial small subunit ribosomal RNA". Lineage: Bacteria; Pseudomonadati; Pseudomonadota; Betaproteobacteria; Burkholderiales; Alcaligenaceae. The record is from RNAcentral.
GUCUGAUUAUGGCCUGAUUAAACGCUGGCGGGACAAGCCACACAUGCAAGUCGAACGGCAAAGUAUCGGACUUCGGUCUGGUGGCGAGUGGCGAACGGGUGAGUAAUGUAUCGGAACGUGCCUAGUAGCGGGGAUAACUACGCGAGUAGCUAUUACCGCAUACGCCCUCGGGGGAAAGCGGGGGACCUUCGGGCCCCGCACUAUUAGAGCGGCUGAUAUCGGAUUAGCUAGUUGGUGGGGUAACGGCUCACCAAGGCGACGAUCCGUAGCUGGUUUGAGAGGAUGACUCAGCCAUACCGACUGACAUGGCCCAGACUCCUACGGGAGGCAGCAGUGGGGGAAUUUUAAGGGCUGAAACUCCUGAUCCAGCCAUCUCAUGUGUGCGAUGAAGCGUCUGCCAGCACUUUUGGCAGGAAAGAAAACGGCACGGGAUAAUACCCCGUGCAACUGGCCGGUACCUGCAGAAUAAAGCGUUCACAACUACGCCAGCAGCCGCGGUAAUACGUAGGCAAAAGCGUUAAUCGGAAUUAUCGGGCGUAAAGCGUGCGCAGGCGGUCUGGAAAGAAAGAUGUGAAAUCCCAGAGCUUAACUUUGGAACUGUAUUCUUAACUACCGAGCUAGAGGUGUCGAGAGCGGACAAUUCGCGCGGCAGCGAAAUGCGUAGAUAUGCGGAGGAACACCUGAUGACGAAGGCAGCCUCCUGGAUAACACUGACGUCAUACCAGCGGUGGGAGCCAAAACAGGAUUAGAUCUCUGAAACCACGCCCAAACGAUGUCAACUAGCUGUUGGGGCCUUCGGGCCUUGUAGCGCAGCGACCAGCAGGAAGUUGACCGCCUGUGUAUUAUUGGCUCGAUUAAACCCAAAGGAAUUGACGGGAUCCGCACAAGCGGUGGAUGAUGUGGAUUAAUCGAUGCAACGUGAAAAAACCUUACCUGCCCCAGACAUGUCCGGAAUCCCGAAGAUCUUGGGAGUGCUCGCAAGAGAACCGGAACACAGGUACGUAUGGCCGUCGUCAGCUCGUGUCGAGAUGUUGGGUUAAGUCCCGGCAAACGAGCGCAACCCUUGUCAUUAGUUGCUACGAAAGGGCACUCUAAUGAGACUGCCGGUGACAAACCGGAGGAAGGUGGGGAUGACGUCAAGUCUCAUGGCCCUUAUGGGUAGGGCUUCACACGUCAUACAAUGGUCGGGACAGAGGUCGCCAACCCGCGAGGGGGGAGCGCCAAUCCAGAUAAACCUGAUCGUAGUCCGGAUCGCAGUUCGCACCCACUGAGGCAGCCGGAAUCGCCAGUGCAAUCGCGGAUCAGCAUGUCGCGGUGAAUACGUUCCUGGUCUUGCGGGCACACUGCCCGUCACACCAUGGGAGUGGGUUUUACCAGGCGUAGUUAGCCCAAUCCGCAAGGAGGGCGAUUACCACGGUAGGAUUCAUGACUGGGGUGAAGUCGCAUUGAAGGUGCA